RNAcentral lists this unclassified non-coding RNA (343 nucleotides) under soil metagenome. RNAcentral describes it as "partial contains 5.8S ribosomal RNA, internal transcribed spacer 2, and large subunit ribosomal RNA". The stretch from base 1 to 120 matches the Rfam family "5.8S ribosomal RNA", at positions 35 to 154 of the family's 154-position model. The record is from RNAcentral.
GAUGAAGAACGUAGCGAAAUGCGAUAAGUAAUGUGAAUUGCAGAAUUCAGUGAACCAUCGAAUCUUUGAACGCACAUUGCGCCCGCCAGCAUUCUGGCGGGCAUGCCUGUUCGAGCGUCAUUUCAACCCUCGACUUCCCUUUGGGGAAGUCGGCGUUGGGGACCGGCCGUAUACCGCCGGCCCCGAAAUGAAGUGGCGGCCCGUCCGCGGCGACCUCUGCGUAGUAAUCCAACUCGCACCGGAACCCCGACGUGGCCACGCCGUAAAACCCCCGACUUCUGAACGUUGACCUCGGAUCAGGUAGGAAUACCCGCUGAACUUAAGCAUAUCAAUAAGCGGAGGA